This 301-nucleotide ribosomal RNA is filed under the name uncultured bacterium. RNAcentral's name for it is "partial 16S ribosomal RNA". It matches the Rfam family "Bacterial small subunit ribosomal RNA", at positions 509 to 809 of the family's 1533-position model. The record is from RNAcentral.
CAGUAGCCGCGGGAAUACGGAGGGUGCAAGAGUUAUCCGGAUUUAUUGGGUUUAAAGGGUCCGUAGGCGGACUUAUAAGUCAGUGGUGAAAGCCUGUCGCUUAACGAUAGAACUGCCAUUGAUACUGUAAGUCUUGAGUAUAUUUGAGGUAGCUGGAAUAAGUAGUGUAGCGGUGAAAUGCAUAGAUAUUACUUAGAACACCAAUUGCGAAGGCAGGUUACCAAGAUAUAACUGACGCUGAGGGACGAAAGCGUGGGUAGCGAACAGGAUUAGAUACCCCAGUAGUCCCUGUCUCUUAUAA